GAUCAUGGCUCAGAACGAACGCUGGCAACGUGGAUUAGGCAUGCAAGUCGAACGAGAUUCCUUGUGAUAGCAAUAUUGUGAGGAUGACAGUGGCGAAAGGGCGAGUAUUAGCGUGGGUAAUCUGCCGUCAAGAUCGGGACAACCCGCCGAAAGGUGGGCUAAUACCGAGUGUGGUCCUCCGGCGCAUGUCGGGGUGAUUAAAGGUGGGGAUCGAAAGACCUGCCGCUUGAUGAGGAACCCGCGUCCCAUCAGCUAGUUGGUGAGGUAACGGCCCACCAAGGCUUACGGGUAGCUGGUCUGAGAGGAUGGUCAGCCGCACUGGGACUGAGACACUGCCCAGACUCCUACGGGAGGCUGCAGUCGAGGAUCUUUUGCAAUGGGCGAAAGCCUGACAAAGCGACGCUGCGUGGAGGAUGAAGGCCUUCGGGUUGUAAACUCCUGUCAUACCGGGAACAAUUGUCGGCGUUAAUAACCGGCCGGACUUGAGGUACCGGAAAAGGAAGCCACGGCUAAUAUAGUGCC
This 522-nucleotide ribosomal RNA is filed under the name uncultured bacterium. RNAcentral's name for it is "bacterial SSU rRNA". It matches the Rfam family "Bacterial small subunit ribosomal RNA", at positions 15 to 509 of the family's 1533-position model. The record is from RNAcentral.